This 466-nucleotide ribosomal RNA is filed under the name uncultured bacterium. Its description in RNAcentral is "bacterial SSU rRNA". It matches the Rfam family "Bacterial small subunit ribosomal RNA", at positions 8 to 475 of the family's 1533-position model. The record is from RNAcentral.
AGAGUUUGAUCAUGGCUCAGAUUGAACGCUGGCGGUAUGCUUAACACAUGCAAGUCGAACGCGAAAGCACUUUCGGGUGUAAGUAGAGUGGCGGACGGGUGAGUAAGGCAUGGGAAUCUGCCCUAUAGCGGGGGAUAACUUGGGGAAACCCAAGCUAAUACCGCAUACACCUACGGGUAAAAGAUGGCCUCUUCUUGAAAGCUAUUACUAUAGGAUGAGCCCAUGUAAGAUUAGCUAGUUGGUAGGGUAAAAGCCUACCAAGGCUACGAUCUUUAGCUGGUCUGAGAGGACGAUCAGCCACACUGGGACUGAGACACGGCCCAGACUCCUACGGGAGGCAGCAGUGGGGAAUAUUGGACAAUGGGGGCAACCCUGAUCCAGCAAUACCGCGUGUGUGAAGAAGGCCUGCGGGUUGUAAAGCACUUUUAUCUGUGAGGAAGGGUUUAAUGUUAAUACCAUUAGACAU